CUUGCCAGGGAACUACGAGCCCCAGCUUAAAACCCAAAGGACUUGGCGGUGCUUUAGACCCCCCUAGAGGAGCCUGUUCUAGAACCGAUAACCCCCGUUAAACCUCACCCCCUCUUGUUAAUUCCGCCUAUAUACCGCCGUCGUCAGCUUACCCUGUGAAGGACUUACAGUGAGCUUAAUUGGUACAACCUAAAACGUCAGGUCGAGGUGUAGCGUACGAGGGGGGAAGAAAUGGGCUACAUUCACUGACCCAGUGCACACGAACAAUGCCUUGAAAUGGACAUUCAAAGGAGGAUUUAGCAGUAAGGGGAGAAUAGAGUGCUCCCCUGAAACUGGCCCUGAAGCGCGCACACACCGCCCGUCACUCUCCCCAAAAAUAAACCCAAACAUAAUUAAAGCUAUCUUUAAAUAAAGGGGAGGCAAGUCGUAACAUGGUAAGUGUACCGGAAGGUGCACUUGGAAAAAU
This 466-nucleotide ribosomal RNA is filed under the name Lepidogobius lepidus (bay goby). Its description in RNAcentral is "partial 12S ribosomal RNA". It matches the Rfam family "Bacterial small subunit ribosomal RNA", at positions 868 to 1533 of the family's 1533-position model. Lineage: Eukaryota; Metazoa; Chordata; Actinopteri; Gobiiformes; Gobiidae. The record is from RNAcentral.